CAGCCGCCACGGUAAUACGGAGGGGGCUAGCGUUGUUCGGAAUUACUGGGCGUAAAGCGUACGUAGGCGGCUUUGUAAGUUAGAGGUGAAAGCCCGGAGCUCAACUCCGGAAUUGCCUUUAAGACUGCAUCGCUUGAAUCGUGGAGAGGUGAGUGGAAUUCCGAGUGUAGAGGUAAAAUUCGUAGAUAUUCGGAAGAACACCAGUGGCGAAGGCGGCUCACUGGACACGUAUUGACGCUGAGGUACGAAAGCGUGGGGAGCAAACAGGAUUAGAUACCCCAGUAGUCCCUGUCUCUUAUAC
This 301-nucleotide ribosomal RNA is filed under the name uncultured bacterium. RNAcentral describes it as "partial 16S ribosomal RNA". It matches the Rfam family "Bacterial small subunit ribosomal RNA", at positions 509 to 807 of the family's 1533-position model. The record is from RNAcentral.